AAUACAGAUUCAAUUCUAUUGGAGUAAAACAGCAUGACCACGCCCACUAAUGUUGGUUACAUUUAGAUUUUGCCGCCAUUGUCCAUUUGUAAGUGUCUCGUGAAUGGAAAGAGUGGACAGAUCGAGAGCGUGGAUCCGCCGAACAUCAGUAGUCAUUCACCGAACCACAGAAUUUCUUCAUUUCUGAACUCAAUCAGAAAUCCAGUUGCCAAGAAAUUUGACAUUCCAACCUUGGACUUAAAAGUCUAUGAUGAAUCGAAGACUGAAGUUGAUGAGGAGUUUGAGUUUCUUCUUAAGAAACAAGACCUUGGUGUGCUGGAGAUUUGUUUACCCCAAGACCCAAAUCCCGAUGAUUCGUUGAGCUCCUCUGCAAGCAGCUCCUUCUCAAAAUACAGUGGAGACAAUGAGGGGGACUCCAGUGACACCAUUAUAUUGCAGCAGAGUCMUGCUACAAGAAAGACAGCUGAGGAUAAUCGUCUAUCUCAUAUGAUUGAAGACAUUCUGAACAACAAACCUGGAGGAGAGAGGAUCAUGCUUGAGUAUGCUCGGUCAAAAAGCCUAACAUAUAGCAGAAGACGCGAUAUGGUCAAGAUAUUGGUUGCACAAAUGACAAGUGAACAUGGAUAUAUGUCAAAUACUCAUUACAUUCCUUACCACCUACACAAUUUUUUAGCAGAAGUUGUGAUUUACACCUCAAUACUUUUGUUUGGAUCUCAAACAGUAGAGUGUGUGUGUCUAGGAAAAGUCCUUAAAAGCGUGUUAAAGAGGACUACGCAAAGGGCAUCAUUGCCUUGUUCCCAUACCUGGCCGAACCUAGGAGCAAGUUUGGUUAUGUGGUCCAAAAGCUGAUAGACUCCUUCAGAGAGGAAAACUGUCCAACAACAGACAGCCUGUGUUGUGAUGCCAAUGCACGAAUGAAGCAUACAGCUGAUGAAGCAAUUGUAAAGGAGAAGAUGAAGCAGACGUUCACCUAUCGCCAAAAGAUGGUUCAUGACCCAGUGAAGUCCUCUGAAAUAUUCACAGCGUUUCCAAGACAUAGCAGCAAUGACUUAUUCCAUCGUGUCUGGUGUUUGGUGAUGCAACCUCUGCAGAGUUCCUGGAGAAGUGGCCUACUCUCUACAAGCAGAAAGUCAUUGACCAAAGCCGUGGCCUCACACAGAUAGGCGACCUGCAAGACCUGGUUCAAAAUGCUGAAUCCACAACAGAAGUGGGAAAUGGAUGGGACAGUGACAUGUCCUACAUUUUGGUCCUUGUCCACCUUCUGCCACCGCCACCUCAUGGCUGCAAGAGCCCAGGAAAAAUCUCAGCCAGACACGCCAAGACUGGGACCAGCAUCCAGGGGCAUCUGGAGAGCGUCAUGGAAAGCCUUCAACCCUAUCUGCUUGCUGUGGGGACCCAGAGGAGUGUGAUUCAUAAGUACUCCAUUGUGAUUGACAAACAUGCAAUACCUUGUAAGUCACCAGACUCUCUUCCCUGUUUUGAUGAGCUUUUCAAAGCUCAUUUUGUCUUUGGUACCUUGUGCAACCAGGAUCUGGUAAAUGUCUACAACUUCUUGCAAACCACAAUUUAUGAAAUUGAUGUUGAUACCACUAAGGGUAAUCCUAGGGUUGCAGAGUUGACGGCUCAGAUACUGCAUUGAGUUACUAAAAGUUUUGAAGUUGCAAAGGGAUUAAAACGCAGCAUAGGAAAUAACCUUUUUCCUUUCACACAAACUUUUUCAUAUCAUUCAUCUAAAAUGUUGUGUUUUGCUUGCAAAAGCCUGCAGGCAAAUGCUAAUUCCUUGACAAAACACUUGAAGUUGGUCCACGGACUUUGUCCAGGAAAGACACUUGGUCUUAAAUGCUGUCAGGCUGGUUGUUCGCAAGUUUAUGGCACUUUUUCUGGGUUCAGAAAGCAUCUUUAUAAAGCACAUGAACCUUGUUCUGAUCAYGGUGAAGCCCCCUCUUCAGCUGAAUGUGUAGCAGUAAUUCAUUUUGAUGACCUGCCAUCAACAAAUUCCCCUUCUGACUCAGUCCUUGUCAAUAAGAGUCUUGUAGACAGCUGCGCUGCAACCAUAGCUGAACUUAGUGGCAGGUGUAGGUGAAACGACCAUUAACUCUUUGGUUAUUUCCAUGGAAGAGAUAGUUGAUGAUAUUCAAGCUAAAGAAGCUGUGAAGAAGUGUCUGUCUAUACAGGAGUGUAUUAAAAGUCAAAUUGAUCAGUGCUUUGAAAAAAAUGAAAAUCCUUGUGGUGUAUUAAAUUCUGAAAGUAAGAGAAAACAGUAUUUUACAGAAAAGUGGGGAAGGGUAGACCCAGUUGAAUGCGUUCUUGGUUUUAUCAAAAUACUUAACACAAUUUACAAAACCACACACCCAAACUGCAAAAUACCUCAUAUAUCCUGCAAAAUGAACCACUGCAACCAAAACUACAGCAUUAUCAAAAUCAAACGUUUGCACGAAAUGGCACACACUUCAUUCAUAUUACCAGAUUUUUGUCUAACCAACUACACUGUUGGGCAUAAUGAAAAGCACUCUCAUCUUUAGUAUGCUUUGCCAUAAUACUAAAAUAGUUCAAAUUGUAGAAAAUUCUUAGUUUUUUUCAAUUGUUUAAGCACAAUUUUGAAAACGGCCUGGUUUGUCAAAACACUACACACAAUUAGCACAACCCUACACCAAAGUAGCACAACACUUCAGAUAAUUUGCAAAAUGGAACACUUUUGUCAAAACUAUACACGACUUUAUAAAAAAUACUAUUUUGUUACCAUACGAAACACACACAUUUCAUAUGACUUCAAUCUUUUUGAACCAGUUACACACUGCUGUUGCUAACCUAAAACACUUUUAGCAAGUCUAAUUGUCAGUGAUUAGAGUACUGUAAAUGAAGUACACAGAGAAAGUGCAACUAUACAAACACUACACAAGACCAAUGCUGCAGACUGAGGAAAAUAUCAUUUAUUUCUCUCCAUAUACCCAAAUCAGUCAACAUGGAGAAUCACAACAAAACAUGUCCCAGUUUUCAUGCUACUACGGUAGUGUGCAUAACACUGUUAGCUCAGCAAACAACGGACAAACGUAAAAUACUGUAUCCCGUACAGGUUACAAUUACAGUAAAUAACAACAACAAACAUAAAAAAUAAUCUGAAAAAAAAACGGACAAUAUUGUACAGAAAAUACUACAG
Molecule: non-coding RNA, 3157 nt
Organism: Salvelinus sp. IW2-2015
Lineage: Eukaryota; Metazoa; Chordata; Actinopteri; Salmoniformes; Salmonidae
Source: RefSeq, a predicted model, not a curated record